Long non-coding RNA from Harpia harpyja (harpy eagle), 3980 nucleotides. RefSeq lists it as uncharacterized. The transcript has 2 exons. The record is from RefSeq and is a predicted model, not a curated record. NCBI's taxonomy places the organism in Eukaryota, Metazoa, Chordata, Aves, Accipitriformes, Accipitridae.
ACCCGCAGCCUCCGGGGCUGCCAGGCUCGAUUUUCCGAGCGGGCUUUAUGGGAAUAUCGAUAGAAUUAAAGUUACUUGUAAUUCCGUGAUAAAUGAGAUGUCUCGAGUAAGUAAGAUUAAGUGCGGUGCUAUAAAGUUGUUUAUCUGAAAAGUAAUUCUCAGAAACCUGACUUCUGACACUUGGUCAUAUAUUAAACCAGCUUCUUGAACAUUGUACUUCAAAUCCUCCCUUCUCCCCUUGCCCGGUCCCUUCCCCCUCGGAGUUUGCUAUUUAUAACUGCGCGCAGGGUACUACUCGGUAGGUGCGGGCAAGCCUCUGGGUAAUUUUUCACCGACUGUGAAAAUCAUCAUUUGCGAUAGCCAAAGAAUCUCUGCUGAGGAAAUAGUACUUGGCUAGUGGAUUUACGAAUGGAUAACAUCUUCUGACUAUGCCAUUAUCAGUACGAGUGCCAGUACUAACAUCUGAAAGUCAUACAGCAUGUACUGUUCCUGGCAGCUAAAAACGGUAGGGCAUACUGCAAAUUUAGGAAGAUGGCUAUGGCUAGAAAUGAUCAUAGAGGCAAUUCUCUAAAGCUAAAAAAUGCUACCGACGUCGCUAACAAAAUUAAAAUUCACUUCUGCACGGUCCCGAAACACGCCCGCACACACACAGCCGUGGACAUCUGCUAGCUUUAUCUUACGGACUGCGAUUCAUGACAAAGUUAGUGCAACUUAACUACUCGGGCUGGCUUUCCUAUUUCUUCACGUCGUCGGAAUCAACAAAACUUCCAGGCUCGCAGCAUAAAUCCCCCCAGGACAGCCCAAUUCCCUGUAUUUGUUUUUUCCCUGAGCGAGAUGAAUGUGGUACUGUAUAUCAUUUAACAUGCUCACCUAUGAGAGACAUAAAAUGUGUGCUAAUAUUUUUAAAUGAAAAGGUUAUUGCUUUUCAGAAUGUACAAUUGUAGUAUUUCACUUGCCCGCUUGAUAGAUGGCUGUGGAAAUGUGGCUCCAGCCCCAUAAAAUAGUUUGUUUGGACGUGAGGAUUCAAAGUGCUACAUUUGCAAACGAGUAAAUUUCCUGAGUAAACUCUGAACUCCAGACAAAGAGUAUGAAAUUGCAUGAGCUAAUGGGGACCGUCUCUUAAUUGAUACCAAUGUAAGCAAGUGCUGCAAAUUAAUUGGAGCUCUGACCUACCAGAACAGCCGGUAAAAUUAUUAGUUGUAUAAUAUUGUUCUUGUGUGAUUGUUACACAGAACUGCUGCACCAAAAUGUCUCUGCUGUUCAGCGCAGCAGAGAAAAAAAGAUUAUUAGCAAUUUUUGGAUAACCUUCAGAAGCAACAUUCUCCUCCCUACACUAUAUAACUCUCAUUUUAGUAGUAUUUUUCUUUAUUAUUUGGCUAUUCACAAUGGGUGUCUAAACAUUUACAGUCCUCUAUUAACAGUGUUUCUUCCAUAACAAUCACACACUUUCAUUUCAAUUAGAGCUAUUCAGCCUUCAGUUUUUCCACAAUUAUCGCAGGCCAAUUCCCCCAGACUGCUCCCUUUUCCCAGCACUGUUUGUAACAAUCCUGCCCUGAGCCAGGCAGAGGGAAAACUCCAGCGUCCCCCUCGUAGCCUCUCACUCCCGCUUGUUUUCAAGCAUCUCUGUUCGACGACAUAACGUGGAGCCUUGCUCGCUCCCACUUUGCUGCUGACCUGGUUCACGAGCCUUCAAGCUAACGUAUAUUUAUCGUGGGAGAGUUUUCUGACAGAUCGCGCAGGGGGACGUGAAACAUUAACUCCAAAUACACUCGGAUCGCCCCGCAUUGGGACGAGCACGCCAGCAGCGUAUGCGAGACCUUCCAUCGCUGAAGUGUGUGUGUGCCUGUGUGUGUAUCUAACACAGAAGACUUAGCAGAAGCGAACGUGCAGGUUAUGAGUUAUAUGGACUCGGAGUGUAAUUUGUUAUUACUUAAACACGUAUCAAGACCAACACAUUAAGUACAGUUACUGCUCCUUUUGUUUAUCUAGUGUCUUAUUUUAUGGUGCAGAACUAAACAGUGUCCGCUGAAUUUAACUAUGAAACCAGCCAAAUUGAUUUCAGAAAGACUUCUUCAGAGUAACAGAGUGAUAAGGCAUAAACUGCUCCUAGGUGCAGUGCUAGAUAAAUCCUUUUAACAGUCUUCAGAUCAGUUAACAGGGUAAGUAAAUCACAUAUCACUGUUAGCAGAUUUAUGGGAGAGAAUUAAUAGAAUCAGACGAGAUAAUCUGGUAGGGAUAAAAUUGCUGAGGAAACAGUCCUGCCUUAUAUUGGAGGGUAUGAAACAACAGUCUGAUUACUGGGAGUCGUUAUGGAUUGGUGAAUUAUGAGCUAAACCAUCAUAAGAGUAAUUCAGUAUUUAUUAAUUCUUUUCUCUUUAAACAACUCACAGACGCAAAUAAAAGCCUCUCUCUCUUUGAAGACACAUUCUUUAUAUAUUUUUAUUGGAUGUAAUUUACUAUUUGCAUUACCUGUAUUUACUUCAUAAUUGAACAUUUUGCAUUCAAAUUUAUGUAAUGCAUUAUGCUUGAGAAUAUAUUUCUCCCUUAUUAGCAUAAAUAGUCACUUACCUCAUGAAUUACUAACAAAGUUUAUCUGAAAAUACAGGUAUAUUUUUUAUUAAGUGGAACACAAACAUAUGCACAAUAAAUUCUGAUUUGCCAGAAGUGUUACAGAAACACAGAACAGCCCUGUAUCGGAGAUGAGGGAAAAGAAGCAGCAGCAAAGAAACAGAAUCAAUUACUACGUGUAGGGGGCUGGCGCUACGAGAAAUGAGAGACGUCGGUGGAUCUGCUGGCAGGAAAUCAGGUCUGCUCCCCAAAAUUCCAAGGCAAGAUUCCCAGUUAACUUGUGGUGGAUCUCCUUUACGCUCAGGUUUUAUCAUCGUGAUACUGUGGGCCAGGAUGCCUGUAUGUUUUGUCUGGACGCAUAAAGCCAGUCCUCCCGGGAGCAUUCGAAUGAGCACAUCUAUAAAUGUAGAGCAGCAAAAUGAGCUACUUUUGCCACUCUCGCUUUUCCCGAGCCUGGUACAAUCCAUUUCUGUGACAACAGUUUUCUGCCCCAUACGCAUCUGAUACUGCUCUUUUAUUUUAAGGCUGAGAAAAUCUUCCCUUUAAACUCACGCUGAGCAUCAAAUUGGACUCCACUUGCAGCUGAACAUCUUGGCUGUCUCUUCCCUUCCUCCAUCAGCUCCAGUAUAUUUUAUGUAGAAUUCUCUCCGUUAAUGAAGCUUGCUUCUCUUCUCUCCUCACUUCCCAGUUUUGCAUUAGUGUUACCAAAUCCACCAGACUUGCCGCGUUUCAAAACUGUGCAAAGGGAGAGAAAAAAAAUGUUUUCUCUUCCCAUACAGCCUCCCGUUGGACUGUUCUGCACAGACCCUAAAUAUACAACCUCUGUUCAUUUGUAUGUAAAGUUUCUGUUGCUAAAUGAGAAAAAAGUAGUUUGAAAAGGCAGGCUUAAACACUACAUUUCGGUCACUUUCCUGUCGCGUCCGCGAGGGCUUGUGUUUUAGCUCUAGGAAUUGCGAGGUACUGGCAGCUGCCUUGAUUUUAUUCCCCUGGAAGUGCCUGACAGUCACUAAAUGGAAGAGGCAGCAUCGGUGCUACACCUGAGUGCGUGAGUUUGCUCUAUAUACCCCGAGUCGGAAUGAAGUGACGGCUUCUUAGCAAUCAGAAUAUUUUCAUUGCUUGCUUAUAACAUUUCCAAAAUGCUAGAAAGAUUCUGAAUAGCUUUGUAUGGUCCAGAAACAAUUCCUCUAUCUGAAGGGAAGACAGCACCGAGGUGCAACUGAAAAGCUGCAAGUGACUCUAAGACGUGGCUAAAGGUUGGUGUCACAAGGUUUGUACUGUGUUUGCUUCAUGAUGCAUGCCCUAAUUUAGUAAUUUUCAUGAAUGGCUUUGCCUAAAUGUAAAAAUCAAUGAAGACAUUUUGAUGCUAAAAAAUCUAUUUAUCUAAAAGAAAUAAAAACUGAAAUCGCAAUAAA